UACGGAGGGAGCAAGCGUUGUUCGGAAUUACUGGGCGUAAAGCGCAUUUAGGCGGCCCAACAAGUCGAAUGUGAAAUCCCGGAGCUCAACUCCGGAACUGCAUACGAUACUGUUGGGCUCGAGUCUCGGAGAGGAUGGCGGAAUUUCCGGUGUAGAGGUGAAAUUCGUAGAUAUCGGAAGGAACACCAGUGGCGAAGGAGGCCGUCGGGACGAUGACUGACGCUGAGAUGCGAAAGCGUGGGGAGCAAACAGG
Molecule: ribosomal RNA, 253 nt
Filed under: uncultured bacterium
Lineage: Bacteria
Description: partial 16S ribosomal RNA
Rfam family: Bacterial small subunit ribosomal RNA
Source: RNAcentral